Pteropus vampyrus (large flying fox) is the source of this 119-nucleotide ribosomal RNA. The record is from Ensembl. NCBI's taxonomy places the organism in Eukaryota, Metazoa, Chordata, Mammalia, Chiroptera, Pteropodidae.
GUCUAUGGCCAUGUCACCCUAAACAAACUUGUUCGUGUCUGAUCUCGGAAGCUAAGCAGGGUUGAGCCUGGUUAGUACUUGGAUAGGAGACCACCUAGGAAGACCAGAUGCUGUAGGCG